This 253-nucleotide ribosomal RNA is filed under the name uncultured bacterium. Its description in RNAcentral is "partial 16S ribosomal RNA". It matches the Rfam family "Bacterial small subunit ribosomal RNA", at positions 524 to 776 of the family's 1533-position model. The record is from RNAcentral.
UACGUAGGUGACAAGCGUUGUCCGGAUUUACUGGGCGUAAAGAGCGCGCAGGCGGUCGUUCAAGUCGAGUGUGAAAGCCCCCGGCUCAACUGGGGAGGGUCAUUCGAUACUGAUCGACUCGAAGGCAGGAGAGGGAAGUGGAAUUCCCGGUGUAGUGGUGAAAUGCGUAGAUAUCGGGAGGAGCACCUGUGGCGAAAGCGGCGCGCUGGACCAUAACUGACGCUGAGGCGCGAAAGCUAGGGGAGCAAACAGG